CGCGGCCUAUCAGCUUGUUGGUGGGGUAAUGGCCUACCAAGGCGACGACGGGUAGCCGGCCUGAGAGGGUGAUCGGCCACACUGGGACUGAGACACGGCCCAGACUCCUACGGGAGGCAGCAGUGGGGAAUAUUGCACAAUGGGCGAAAGCCUGAUGCAGCGACGCCGCGUGGGGGAUGACGGUCUUCGGAUUGUAAACCCCUUUCAGUAGGGACGAAGCGCAAGUGACGGUACCUGCAGAAGAAGCACCGGCCAACUACGUGCCAGCAGCCGCGGUAAUACGUAGGGUGCGAGCGUUGUCCGGAAUUACUGGGCGUAAAGAGCUCGUAGGCGGUUUGUCGCGUCGUCCGUGAAAACUCGGAGCUUAACUCCGAGCUUGCGGGCGAUACGGGCAGACUUGAGUACUACAGGGGAGACUGGAAUUCCUGGUGUAGCGGUGAAAUGCGCAGAUAUCAGGAGGAACACCGGUGGCGAAGGCGGGUCUCUGGGUAGUAACUGACGCUGAGGAGCGAAAGCAUGGGUAGCGAACAGGAUUAGAUACCCUGGUAGUCCAUGCCGUAAACGGUGGGCGCUAGGUGUGGGGUCCUUCCACGGAUUCCGUGCCGUAGCUAACGCAUUAAGCGCCCCGCCUGGGGAGUACGG
This 642-nucleotide ribosomal RNA is filed under the name uncultured bacterium. RNAcentral's name for it is "bacterial SSU rRNA". It matches the Rfam family "Bacterial small subunit ribosomal RNA", at positions 232 to 885 of the family's 1533-position model. The record is from RNAcentral.